AGGAGGCCAGUCUAUCACAGGGCGAGCAGAGGAGGCCAGUCUAUCACAGGGCGAGCAGAGGAGGCCAGUCUAUAACAGGGCGAGCAGAGGUCUACGCACUCAAAGGGCAGCUCAGGGACACCAGCCCACCCAAAUCAGAUGCACAGGUCAGCCACACCCUCAGGGCGGCGAGAUUAAUCAGGGACAGGGCAUAGAUUCAGUCUCAUUAGACACCUGGAGAAAUGUGCGAGAGCAGUAAAGAGCUCCUUCACUGGCUCGCUUUGGGGAAUCUAGCCACCAGGACAGCUGUGGACUGUUUCUCCACCACAAAGGAAAGAGGAUAUGAGCAGCCUCUCAUUUUAAGGGUAGAGGGCAAUAAUGACUGUGCUGACCACAGACCAGCUAUAAACCAUUCACCUGAGAACCAUUAUCCUCACGCUGGGAGCCCGUAACCGCCAGCCUAGAAGAGUGAGGGCGUUUACUCUUGCAAAUUGCAGCUUGUUGAAUUAAUAAAUGAAACAGCUGGAGCAGGAAACAGUGAAAGUAUGAAAAAAAGUGCUAAAAUAGCGGUAAAAAAGUGAAUGUGGCAGAAUGAUCCCAGGACUUCAGUGUCAUUUCAAAGCAUCAUUCUGCAUCGAAACACAGCACUGCAUCCAAAUAUGGUUUUCAGCACUGCAGCUGCUGCUGACUCUGAUGAAUGAUCUGUUGUGGGAACAUAAACCCAGAAAAAAUGCAAUAUAACCGCCAGCAUUUACUGAAAGAGAAUGAGUCAAACUCCAUGGAUAUAUUUGUUAUGGAAUGAAGACUGUAGGAUUACAGUAUAUCGUGCGCUACAAAGAGAAGGAAAAAGAGAAAAAUCCAGACCAUGAGGAACACAGGUCAGUCCUGCAUGUCGGGGACAAGACGAGCCGGUGAAGUGUGACACACACGUCAAGUCCCUGAUACUGCUGCUGCAUGACACGAGGAUUUUUAAGCCUCGCACUGAUAUAGCGUCUGAGGUAAAAUGGCAGGAGGGCAGCCCUGGAUGAAACAGAGUGAAGCCAGUUGAAAUCAAAAGGCUGCAUACACCAUUUACUGGCUUUAUCCAGGGACUGAGACGAUGCGUUUACGUCAAUCCAGAAGCACUUCGGCUAAAGCUAAACAAGUCCAGCCAUUAUCGCAAAGCACAGUCCACUGCAGUUAGUCCUCUGAUUGCCAUGGAAACGGUGUACCGUUAUAAACAGCUACCGUACCACUACACGAUGGUCUGUGCACGAGGAGCACUGAAACCACUCAAGUCAAUUUCUCAGCUAAUAAAGACUUUAAGCCCUGGGAUCCUGAGAAUGAAGUCCGUGGUGGAGCAGAAAGGUGCAGAUUUGUGUUUGCCGCAGUGCUGGGAAUCGGAGUUUUGUGCACUGAAGGUACAUUCAUGAAUAUGUAGGAGUGUAAUUGUGUUUUCAUCUACCCACAUUUUACUGCAACUGCUGUGUUACUGGGAGAAGAGACAACUGUGGAAGAGUCUAGGAGUCGCAGAGGCAAGACAACAAGGACACCAGGCUUUAGAAUAACACCGCUUCCUUCCCUAGCAGGUCGAAUCCUUUGCUUUUCCCCUCUGUAACUAGAUGCUUACAACACAGAGCUCCACUGAAGAAAGCUGCUUCACAGACUUCAGAGAGCCUGCCCUGCUCGUCAGGCAAAUAGCGAGUGUGAGGGAUGGAUGAAGGUGUAUGUUUGGAACUGGGGAGUCCUCUAAUGACUCCCACGCAGCCAUUGUUUUCCUAUAUUUUCUGGAACCCUCCUUCAUCUUGGAAGGCAACACCAGUCAUUGGCACACCAAAGAGGCCGUCUUCUUGAUAACGGAAUACUCUUUAGGGCGGCAGACUGAAGCUCGCUCUCCUGCCCCCCCAUGUAACAUCAUAGGCCCAAUGGAAAAGUCAGGGGUUGAAAAAGACUGGAGUCUACUACAAAUGAACAAUAUCACAGCCUGGCCAUAGACCUCCUACUGUAAGUCAGGCCUGAGGAAUGGGAGAAAUAACCUAGACUGCAGGCUUCAAAUGGACUAUGCCUGACAGGGACUUCUGCAUGACCCCCAUGGAGAGUUUCUUGGUACUGAAGCCACUGUCUGCAUAGUCUUCAAGUGUCUUCAAACUAAAUGAUCUAAGGGCCCUGUUUGUAGAGUGACCUGGCCAUUUCCAGCACACUAACAAACACAAAAGGGUCUCCCUUUUACGGUCCCCAGGUUAGAAACAAAAUGAUGCCAGUUUAAUAACAAAUGAAGUAAUAAUGUACAAAAAUUAUCAAAACACUUCCAGGAAAUCCCAUCAUAGUUCCUCACUGAAACAUUUAUCACAUCACAGAAUGUACCCAGCAAUGCAUUUCCCAUCCCAAAGUGCCUCCUGGUUAACCGCAGAACCUGUGGUUAGCAGUCCACCCAGUUAGUUCCAUUAGUGACAUCAGGAUUAGGGUGUCUAUUUAGCCGUUAUUGACUAAAAGUUAUUGAACAAAGGAGAAAGUUAGCAAAGUACUCUCUGGAUGUGUGGAGAAAAAAAAAUCCCCUCAGUAAAUCAGGCAACCCAGUUGUUGUCCUAAAAAGAGUAGCUCUAUUUCCUAGCAAAUUCAGCUUAAAAAUCUUAAUCAUGCGGCAGGAUAACUCACAGUAGCCAUAUUGUGUACAUUAAUGCUGUCAAAAUCCACGGUCUUAGUGUUUAAGAUCCUCUAACAGAUAUAAAUCAUGGGUACAUGAGCAGGAAGCAGAUAUUCCUGUUUCAUAAGAGCCGAGAAGCUCAGCGGUAUCAGAGGGAUGGAGGGAUGGAGGGAUGGAGAUUCCCUGGCAGCCGCUAAACCCUUCAUUUUCAUCAGGACAAUAGGGCCCCUAGCCUCUCAUUCCACACAGCCAAUCCCCAAUACUCUGAUAAGCAGGCUAUGUCCCGUCAUCUCUCCAUCCUAAUUUGUGAAAGAUAAAUCAUUAUAGAACAACUUCAGUAAUAAUAUAUACUGUUUGCGCAUGGCACCAUAUUACCAUAGUACUGCCAUCACACUCCAUGUUUUCUUUCAACUGACUGUCCUUAAAGCUUCCGGGCUUUUAGAAUCACAUAAACAUGCUGUGACUUUGAAACCCAAAACAAAUUGGGGGGGGGGCUUCUCCUUGCAUUGAAAAGGUCAGCCUAUAGGCGUGUGAAGGAGCUCUGAUUGGCCAGGGAUGAAAACGCCUCUAACGGGCCACUUCCAUCCAAGGUUCCCUUCUGUAAUUAUGCGAGGGAUUAUUAUUCAGGUAUCCAGGUACCCAACAAACAAACUGGUACAGUAACUGUGAAACGCAUACCCUCCAUAACCCAUAGCUUCCACGUGGCUAUGCUCCUCACUAUCUUAUGGAAUUACUUCAGCCCUACUCUCCCAUUUGCAGACUUAGAUCUUCAUCUUCUGUUUUGUUGUUGGUCCCAAGACUUAAACUUACCACCAUGGGUUCUCAGGCAUUUAGGGCUUGCUGUCCCCAAGCUGUGUAACUGUCUUUGUGACCCAUACUCAAGUCCCUUCUUUUCUCUCUCUACUAGCCCUCCUUUUCUGGUCACUGACUCUCAUUUUGUGCAUUCUGUUUUUUACCAUCGUUUGAGUUCGUCUACUGUCUUUGCCCAUGUUAUUUGUGAUUAUGCUUCUCCCAUCAUUUCAUUUGUAACGAUUACCCUUUGUUUAUCAUCCCUCUAUAAAGCAUCCGUGAGUUGGUGAAAGGCGUUAUAUAAAUUACAUUUUCUUGUUGUACUGUAUAUCUAAGAACAGUCUGCUAUCUCUGAAGAUACUUGAGCAAAGUGUGAAUACCUUUAUCGUCAUUAGAUGCAUUACUCACGCUUGUUCAGCCUACACUGUGUUUAAAGUCUAUCAGGUCUGGUAGUGAUCAAACUAGCGUCCCUCAGCAUACAAGUCUGUCCCCGACCACCAAGUGGAGGUCACAUGUGUCACAUUAGCAGAUUAAUCAUUUAAGCAUGCUGUUAAAGGUAGAUAUGUAAGAAUACAAUGACCCUUCUGAGAUUUCUCCUGAAAUCUUAGUUACACCAUCAGCUCCAUUAAACACUGUCUCCACUUUAACUGUAUAUCACAGCUGCUGGUUGAAAACCACUGACCCAACUGCUACAUCUUGGCACCUCGAAGUCAAACCGGAUGGGAUCGUGUUUCAAUCAGCUAAUUAGGCACAGGGCCAGCUGCUCUCUCCUUGUAAAUGAACAGCAGUUCUGUCCCCAACAGGGCUCACCUAGACUGCUAGCCAUUCAGGCCCAUUGAGUACCGGUUAUGGAUACUGACGCUACAUUUAGACAGAAGGGGAAAAGAAAACCUUUACGGAGUUAUUAACUGUUCUAGGGCGGAAUCCACAACACAUUUUCUGACCAGUAUUGCAUGAAUUUGUUACAAGCCAGGCAUAUCUCAGGGAGUCGGACUGGGGGGGAGCUCAGCCACUGUUCUUCAUGGGAGUCAGGUGAUAUACCGAUGGCUGCUUUUGAUGAAUCAUCCCACAGCAGAUACUGUAGAUUCAUUUACAUAUAGCCCUGAUUUGAGCCUUUCUACAUACAGAGUCAACCAGAGGCUGACAGAACAACACAGCAAAGUAAGCCAGUUGGCGAACCGGCCUAAGUGUCCCACUCCCAGCCCAAGUCUCAUCCAUGAACAUUGCAGGUGUUUCCCUUCCGUAAUCCUGUCCCGUAAACCGUCCCCCUCUUUGUUUUCACUUAAUCCCCGAAAAGAGGGAGUUCUCUAAAACCCAGCGUCACGUGGUACGCUUUCCCAAGCCACUAAUCCUGGCACAGAACCCUUCUCCAGCCACAAAGCCAACAAUGUGCGUGUCUUUUCUAGUUAGCAGCCAGCAAUGAUCUCUUAAAGCUAUCUGAAGCAGAACAGUGUAUGAACCAUUUUACACUUACAAUAAAUCAAAUUCCACUCUCAGGGUUGGACAUGAAAGUUUACUGCCUCCCUUUUGACAGAGGCUACACAGUGUCAAAAACACUGCAAACUCUUUUCAUUAUUUCACAAUUUAUUCACCUGCACCUUGUAUUCUAUAGAAGACUAAACAAGACAUACCUAUAAAUACAUAAAUGUAAAUCAUGACAAACAUAAAUAAAAAACAUUCAUACAUUUUGGUCAUGAGAAAAUAGCAUAAUUAGGUCUACAUUUAUUAAUUUAUCUAGUUCUGAAUUUCUGUAUUUAUACAUUCAUUUAUUUAUUUCUGUAUUUCCCAUUAUCUUCAUUUGUUUAUUUCUGUCUCUUUAUGUUAAUAAGGCAGCUGCUCCUCGCUCAGUGCAGGACUGGCUAAAGAGGUGGAAUCUUGUAUCAUUAAUUUCUGUAUUUCUAUUUACACUUAAGUUUAGUCCUCCAUAGUAUUCAGGUUCUGCCCAAAGCCCAGAGAUCACUAAUUUCGCCUUUCGACUGAUUUUAAUAGAGUCAUUUAGGGCAGGUAGAGGGAAUGCAUCCAGUAGAUCAACUAUUGAUUUGUACUCCAACACCCCAACUGUAGCAAAACAGAAGCCAAAAUGCCCUCUCUCCACGUUGCAAUCUGACGUUUUCUGACCACAAAAUAUGACCCAGAUAUAGGCAGGCAAGGUUCCGGUGUGCAUCUGAGUGAGGGGAAGGUUGUUAUCCGCAUCUAAAUCUGUUUAGACUGACAGGGAAUAGGCCCAUCCAUUGGCCAACUGGCUGUUAAAAUCAAGUAGGAAAUCCAUCCUCUACGUCUGAGCUGUUCACAGCUUAUUGGCUUGUCCGGACUGUGCGAUUGGGCAGUCGGAUUUAAUGUUGGAUAAUUUAUCAAUAGCUAUGCAUCAUUUCCUGGACAAUGGAUCUCCGUGUGGAAAAACCCACCAUUUGCCUAAUGAAUAUCACAGACCAGAUGUUAAAUCACUGCUUGGAUAAAGAGCAGGUACUGAACCACAGAUCACGAUUUGGUCUUUGAACACACACUCGGAGAUCUGAAGGUGAAACUUCCCACAAGUCUACAGAGUUACAUGGAGUGCGAGUCCUUAGCUGACGGUUGGUUUUCAAACAUUUCACUUUUGCUCUGCCCUGAGCUGUUCUUGGCCUCCCUGUGAGGUAGGACCACAGCUCAUGCUCUUCACUUGAUCUCU
Molecule: long non-coding RNA, 6059 nt
Organism: Paramormyrops kingsleyae
Lineage: Eukaryota; Metazoa; Chordata; Actinopteri; Osteoglossiformes; Mormyridae
Source: RefSeq, a predicted model, not a curated record